Molecule: unclassified non-coding RNA, 298 nt
Organism: Callithrix jacchus (white-tufted-ear marmoset)
Lineage: Eukaryota; Metazoa; Chordata; Mammalia; Primates; Cebidae
Rfam family: Metazoan signal recognition particle RNA
About the family: The signal recognition particle (SRP) is a universally conserved ribonucleoprotein. It is involved in the co-translational targeting of proteins to membranes. The eukaryotic SRP consists of a 300-nucleotide 7S RNA and six proteins: SRPs 72, 68, 54, 19, 14, and 9.
Source: Ensembl
CAGGUGCUGUGGUGCAUACCUGUAGUCCCAGCUCCUCGGGAGAAUGAGGUGGUAGGAUCGCUUGAGCCCAGGAGUUCUGGGCUGUAGUGCGCUAUGCCGAUCAGGUAUCCACACUAAGUUUGGCAUCAAUAUGCUGACCUCCCAGGAGCAGGGGACCACCAGGUUGCCUAAGGAGGGGUGAACCAGCCCAGGUCGGAAACAGAGCAGGUCAAAACUCCUGUGCUGAUCAGCAGUGAGGUGGUGACUGUGAAUAGCCACUGCACUCCAGCCUGGGCAACAUAGAGAGACCCAGUCUCUA